RNAcentral lists this ribosomal RNA (253 nucleotides) under uncultured bacterium. RNAcentral describes it as "partial 16S ribosomal RNA". It matches the Rfam family "Bacterial small subunit ribosomal RNA", at positions 524 to 776 of the family's 1533-position model. The record is from RNAcentral.
UACGGGGGGGGUAAGCGUUGUUCGGAAUUACUGGGCGUAAAGGGCUCGUAGGCGGCCAACUAAGUCGGACGUGAAAUCCCUCAGCUUAACCGGGGAACUGCGUCCGAUACUGGAUGGCUUGGAUUCGGGAGAGGAAUGCGGAAUUCCAGGUGUAGCGGUGAAAUGCGUAGAUAUCAGGAGGAACACCGGUGGCGAAGGCGGUUCUCUGGGCCGAUACUGACGCUGAGGAGCGAAAGCGUGGGGAGCGAACAGG